RNAcentral lists this ribosomal RNA (269 nucleotides) under uncultured Planctomycetales bacterium. Its description in RNAcentral is "partial 16S ribosomal RNA". It matches the Rfam family "Bacterial small subunit ribosomal RNA", at positions 565 to 832 of the family's 1533-position model. Lineage: Bacteria; Pseudomonadati; Planctomycetota; Planctomycetia; Planctomycetales. The record is from RNAcentral.
GAGCACGUAGGUGGGUUUGUAAGUCAGAUGUGAAAGCCUUCUGUUCAACGGAAGAAUUGCAUCUGAAACUGCGAGUCUUGAGUGCAGGAGGGGAGAAUGGAACUUCUGGUGGAGCGGUGAAAUGCGUAGAUAUCAGAAGGAACGCCGGCGGCGAAAGCGAUUCUCUGGCCUAUUACUGACACUCAGUGUGCGAAAGCUAGGGGAGCAAACGGGAUUAGAUACCCCGGUAGUCCUAGCCGUAAACGAUGGGCACUAAGUAGAGGGGUUUU